Molecule: ribosomal RNA, 465 nt
Filed under: uncultured bacterium
Lineage: Bacteria
Description: partial 16S ribosomal RNA
Rfam family: Bacterial small subunit ribosomal RNA
Source: RNAcentral
CCUACGGGAGGCAGCAGUGGGGAAUCUUGCGCAAUGGGCGAAAGCCUGACGCAGCGACGCCGCGUGAGGGCUGAAGGUCUUCGGAUCGUACACCUCUGUCAGCAGGGAAGAAAGGUCACUGUGCUAAUCAGCAGUGAAUUGACGGUACCUGCAAAGGAAGCACCGGCUAAAUCCGUGCCAGCAGCCGCGGUAAUACGGAGGGUGCGAGCGUUAAUCGGAAUUACUGGGCGUAAAGCGCUCGUAGGCGGUAUGUCAAGUCAAGGGUGAAAUCCCCGCGCUCAACGUGGGAACUGCCUUGGAAACUGGCAAACUGGAGUGUGUGAGAGGAGAGGGGAAUUCCAGGUGUAGGAGUGAAAUCCGUAGAUAUCUGGAGGAACAUCAGUGGCGAAGGCGACUGUCUGGCACAUAACUGACGCUGAGGAGCGAAAGCGUGGGUAGCAAACAGGAUUAGAUACCCGAGUAGUC